CCGGGGAGAGAGCAGCGAGACCGCUUAUAGAGAAUCAGCCGCGGGAUCCGCCGCAAAGUGCGCGGCGCGGCGUGGUGCGGCUGCCCGGAGACCAGUCCUGACCGGGCACUCAGUCUCCGCUGUUAAUCUGGAUUUUUCCUGAGAUGGGGCCUGCAGAUGGUUAGUUGUUCGAGGCGGAUCGGCUCUCCUCCCGGUACUUCCCUCUCCGCCUCGAGAUCACAUUUCCGCAUGGUGUACCAUCUAGAGAGGCCGGGGUUGGCGACGGCGGCGGCGGCUUCCAAUUCCUUCCAUAAGGGACUUGUCAUUUCUUUGACUAAGGUGACCUUGAGGGCCAGCCCUACAUAGGCUAUCCUAAGCAAAGAGAGGUUCAGAGCAGCAGCUCAGGGAGCCCGGAGUGGGCUUGGUGUCCCGGCUGGGAGCCGGGGAAAAGACUUGUCCCCAGGAACUCGAAUCACCUCUUCCAGCGAAAGCGAGAAACGGCUACAGCGAAUUUGUCUUUGACUCGUUACGGCCUUCAGGGUUUCGGGUCCUCUAGACUCCCCUUUCAUUUACUCUUCCUCCGAGAAAGAAACCCGGCACUCCUCUGACGAGCAGGGACAGCGCAGGCCUUUGAGGCAGCCACCUUUUAGUUAAAACCAAACCUGAGAUCUAUGGCCCAGACCUUUCGCUGCCUGCCAUCCCUGACCUCUCUCUCCUUCUGUCUCCGGGUGUACGGUUGUCCCGGACCUUAUCCCUUUUAGGAUGGAGGGAGAGGCUGAAUUCUUCUCCUUUCUCCUCCUCCCCACGUGUGAACCCCAGGGGCAGCGGAGACCGCAAUUAAAAAGUUUCUCAACCAGUUCACUAAGUCCUCUAAGCUCUAUGAGUCUCUCUCCAGGAAUCGGGCCCCUGAUGUCUACGUUUCGGGGUGGGAAAAUUGGGAAGAGACCGAGGCUCGGGUGACUGCUUCCUUCUGCUCUGUCUGCAGACCUAGCAUCCAGUAGAAAAUUGGACUACUGGAAGAGGAGGCUCCAGCACCGAAGCAGUUUCUUCCACUGUCCUUAGACGCUUAAGGGCCCCCGAACUACCUCUCCCCAUUGAGGUCAAAGUUCGAGUCUGGGGUGAGACGGCUGUCCCAUCGACGGGGCCCUUUCUCCCCCGCAGCUGUCCGGGUUCUCGCCCGCUGGCUCCCUCGACCCAACCGCCCCUCCCUAGAAUCAAUAGCUACCCGAGUCCGGGGCGGCUCACCCCCCGCCCCCGGCCCAGCUGGGUUCCUUCUCAUGCAAAACAGGGGGAACCCUGGGGGCUGGGGACCUAUAGGGUGACAGCUGGACCGGGCUACCGCCCCUCCCGAAGCCUGAGCCUCGGAGGCGUGUGGGUGGAAAGGGGGCGGCUCAGGGACGGUAUCCUGAACUUGCAGCCCAUUUGGGGGCAAGGGACUAAAGCGGGCACCAACUCGCGGUUCCUGCUUAUGCCACUCAACUCACCCCACCUCCCGGUACCCACUUGGAGAGCAGACCAAAAAGUCAAAAGCAAUAAUUGGUGUUUAUAUAGCUCAUUAAAAUAUGCAAAAUGGUUCACA
This is a non-coding RNA of Phascolarctos cinereus (koala), 1558 nucleotides long. NCBI's taxonomy places the organism in Eukaryota, Metazoa, Chordata, Mammalia, Diprotodontia, Phascolarctidae. The record is from RefSeq and is a predicted model, not a curated record.